GGCCCUAUGACGCAAUGGUUCAGCGUGUCGAGUUUCUAUUGCGUCUCUUUUGACAGCGGCAGACCUCGGAAGUUCUGGGUUCGAGUCCCAGUGGGGUCU
Tilletiopsis washingtonensis is the source of this 99-nucleotide non-coding RNA. NCBI's taxonomy places the organism in Eukaryota, Fungi, Basidiomycota, Exobasidiomycetes, Entylomatales. The record is from the annotation of a RefSeq genome assembly.